Long non-coding RNA from Octopus sinensis (East Asian common octopus), 156 nucleotides. RefSeq lists it as uncharacterized. The record is from RefSeq and is a predicted model, not a curated record. NCBI's taxonomy places the organism in Eukaryota, Metazoa, Mollusca, Cephalopoda, Octopoda, Octopodidae. The transcript has 2 exons.
GAAACAAGGUGGAAAAAAAUAGUACUCGAAUACCAGAGGUAGAGUAAUAUGCUUUAUUAAAAAGCAGCAAAAAUAUCACAAAAACUGUUACUCAGAGUUUUAUGUUCCCGUUUGUUGGACAGUGUUUGUGUAUAUAUAUAUAUAUAUAUAUAUAUA